UUGUCUUCAAAGACAAGAUGCAAUACUGGCAACUUAAAUAGUUUCUGCGUAUAGCUGUAAUACAAAUUGUAAAGUAUCGCAUACUACUGGUUACUUAGCAUGAUAGGUACUAAUAAUUGCAAUAAUGACGCUUAUUUGCAGAAAGCCAUUUAAUUUUUCACGUUUGCAUAUGGCGAUCCCUAAACUGAACCAAAUCGAAGUGAUCGGGAGAAUCUCAAUCGCACAAUUUUCGCAUCUUCUCAAAACCCAUUCGAGUGGAAGGUCAGAGGGACGGGACCUCUGGCUUUCUCAUCCACUGUUUUGAGAAGGAGGCGAAGAGAGAUGACGCGAGGAUAAAGAAGCGAAAGCGGUUUGUCAGGUGACUAGCUGGCUCAGAUAAUUCAUGAAUUUUACAGUCGACAAAAGUAUGAUAUCUAGGUUGCUUGUACCAACAUUAUUGUCCGUGAAAAGUUCUGCACAAUAUACCAUUUGCCCCUGCAUUUGAGACUACUGAAACGGCUUUGAAUGCAUUAUGCUUGACACCGUGACUGCGGUGGUGAUGAUUGCGCAAUACAAUGGCAGUGUAUUGCUACGUCAGUGGAGAACACAUCAGCAACACCAACCUGGGGACCAGAGCCUCACAUAUGUUUGCAGGUCCUAUACGAGGACAUCGGCGAGUUAAGCUGCGUGGAUGUCACCACCUUCAUCUACUUCUCUGUGUUUCCCCCACUCAUCUACGUCACCUUCCUCAAAGGCUUCUUCGGCUCAGAGCCCAAGGUCCUCUUCUCCUACAAGUGUCAGGUGGACGAGCCUGACGACCAGACGGAUGUCCACCUGCCCCCCACCUCAGGCCUGGGCCACAAGGAGCAGCUGGAACAGGGCUCCUUCUACCCCGGCACCCAGAUAGAUGGCCUGACUGCUGCAACCAUGGGCACCGGCAUAGCUGCUUACCUGGACGAUGUGGCCUCUGGUCCUUUCAACAGCGACCGCUGGAGAGCCAUCAAUGCCUGAGAGGAGAGGAAAUGAAAAGGCAGGAUAGGGGAUAUUGGACUUGUUGAGUGGAGAAGUUGGAGUUUGCUAUGGCACUCUCUCCCUCCGGAGACACUGUGAAUUGACUCUCAUUUCAGCGCCUGUCUGUUCUCCAUUUUGGAUCUUGCUGCCUUGUCCAUUCUGGCUCAAACAUGACAUUUUCCCCCAAUACCUGCAGGGGAUAUUUCUACAACUUCAGUCAAGUAUUAUCCCCCCUGUAAAUUAGUGUGUGGCUGACCAAGAUAAGAAGAUAAUGUAAAGGUAAUGUCCGAUACAUUUCCAUCGAAGGAUUACAACUGAGGUAAAGUCCAUUAACUGUGGCCUUGUAUUAGAUUUGUAAUCGUCUUGUAUUGAAUAACUGCCUCACUCCCUAUAGGCCAGCCCUGUUCUUAUCGCGCUAGGAGCCUUCUCUAAAUUACAUCACUCAUAAUGAAUCAAGUGUGCUUAAUUAUUUUUUUAAUGUUUGAUAUCAGUGCUUUUUUUCCCCCUCUUGUUGAUGAUCGAAAUCCUACAGUGUAACGUCAUGUAGAAAUUGAAGACCUGUUUGGCUUGAGUCUACAUUUUACAUUUACAUUUUAGUCAUUUAGCAGACGCUCUUAUCCAGAGCGACUUACAGUAAUGAAUGCAUACAUUUCAUGCAUUUUUUUUUUUGUACUGCCCCCCCGUGGGAAUCGAACCCACAACCCUGGUGUUGCACACACCAUGCUCUACCAACUGAGCCACAGGGAAUGCCGGGACUUGGUAUGCCAUGUCAGACAAUUAGCAGUGAUUAACUGGUAUCUAUGUAACUUGCUGCUGGGGCUGGGAGAGACCCAAAAUGGAUGCCAUGCCGCACCCAUGUCGCCUCUACCUAUUUUAUGUUAUUGUUUGGCGUCGGUUUUAGUUAUUUUAGUGACUGCUUGGUUUUAUGUCGAUCGGUAGUUCCAUCAGCUGAUCAUUCCUGGUAUUAAAGGUGCUUAUGACUUAAGUAAAACUUUCCAACCACCAAUCAAAUGAGAUGGAGAAGGCAGGAACAGCACUUGUGGCGAAACAAUGUAUUUUGUGGACAUUUUUAUUUCAAGAAAUAUUCAUGCCCAUAUACAUUGGAUUCAACUGAAAAGUGAGGUUAUUUUAACGACUUGAAAUUUGUUUUCACUAUAUGAAAUUAUUGAUGAAGUCAACUUAUGGGGUUUCCCUUGUGUUCUUUAUAGUCAACCCUGCAUUCAUCACAAAGAAAGAGCAACUUUUAAACAAAGUCCAUCUGAUUGCUCAUGGUGCUCAACGCAAACUAAAUACCAAUUUUCAUGAAGCCCUACUUCCUUGUCUUAAUUCCUACUUGUAUGUCUGCUGUGAACUUAGUUGCCCACAACACAUGGCUUGCUGGGAAAGAAAUUCUAUUGGUGGCUGAAAACAAUGUAAUUCCAGUUUGUGUGAAUUACGAUGUCACUUUUUUGAUUUUAGUUUUGUUUAUGCCCCUCUUGAUUUUGUCACUGAUAUUCAUUCCCCUAACGAUUAAUGUUAUGUUUGCUAUGAUAAAAUGUGAAGUGGGUGAAGUUAUUCAUGUGACAUUAUAGCAUCCAGUGGAGGCUAGUGAGGGGAGGAUGGUUCAUCAUAAUGGCUGGAACAGAGUAAAUGGAAAAGCGUCAAACACAUGGAAACCAUGUGUUUGAUGUAUUUUAUUCCAGUCAUUACCACGAGCCCGUUCUGCCCAAUUUAAGGUGUCACCAACCUACUAGGAUAGCAUCACUACGUAUUAUAAGAGACAUUUAUUUUUUUCAUAAGCGUAUGCCACCACAAAACAAGCAUUUUAUAUUGUCAUUGUAGUAUUUUAUACAAGUCUUCUGCUUUGCUCUUCCCAAUACCUGCCCUGCAUCAACAGACUGUUGCUUGCUCUCAAACACUGCCUUAUAUUUCUAGAGAAAUGUCGGAAGAGUUGCGUUUGAGGUACAAAAUUAUACUAUACUCAAAUCAUCAUGAAUAAGGUCUCUGGGUGUGGGUUUCAAAUGCAAGUGCAGUCAUGUUAAAUAUUGAAUAUAAUAUUUAAGAUGGUAAAUGAAAGAACUUUGAAAAAGAGUGAGGAUACUUGAUGCCAGCAAUUUGUGAACAAUUUAUAGCUCAAUGAUACACUAUUAAAUUAAAAUAAAAGAACGGUGUUUCAGCAUUCCAUGAGAGACUAUUAAAAUAUGCUUCCUUUUCAUUCCUAUAGCCUGCCCAUAUGUAUUUUCUUUGGACUGUGUCUCCCCUUGGUGUUUUGUUGUGGUAUUGCAUAUGGAAAGUGGUCCCAGUAAAUGUUUCAGUUGUGCAUGGCAUGCAGUGUUUCAGUUGUCUGGGGUUAGCCAAAGCUGAAUGUAUGGCACACAAUUUUAUAUAUAUUUUGGACUAACCAAUCAUCUUUCUUGUACAAACAUGCACAACAUUUGGAGAUUUAGAUUUCUGGGAGGCAGGGGAUGACUACAGAGGUACAAUUCCCAGCCCCUUUAUGGUCGCCUAUGAUGUGUGAUAAAAUGUAAUUGCAUUCUGAUUAUUUUAUCCACCUAUACUGUGGAGAAUACUGCAUGUCCUGGAAAAGUGACCUUUCCUUUUGGAGGCCCUAAGCAAGAUUUGGUUUGAAGGGGGGGGGUCACUUCACAAGCAGAAUAUUUUAGUGCCCCCCCCUCUUGAUGGUGGAGAGAGACAUUGUUUUUGAAGUACAUUUCCUGUAAUUCUACACAUUUUGCCAUGGGGUCCCACAUGACAAAAUUCUAUAGUAUAUUUUCGUAUAAAUACAGAGAAUUAAAUAUUUUAUACUA
Salmo salar (Atlantic salmon) is the source of this 3776-nucleotide non-coding RNA. The record is from RefSeq and is a predicted model, not a curated record. NCBI's taxonomy places the organism in Eukaryota, Metazoa, Chordata, Actinopteri, Salmoniformes, Salmonidae.